Molecule: long non-coding RNA, 538 nt
Organism: Mangifera indica (mango)
Lineage: Eukaryota; Viridiplantae; Streptophyta; Magnoliopsida; Sapindales; Anacardiaceae
Exons: 2
Source: RefSeq, a predicted model, not a curated record
GUAUAACGGCGUCAUCUUGUGUCUUACAAAACGAUCCUGCAGCUUAUCUCUUGCAUCAUCUUGUCUGUCCUUGCUUGUCUUGUAAACAUACCAAUUCACCUCGUUACAGAAACCUUACCUUAUUCCGUUCGAUACAAAACCGUCCUCAAAUCGUAACUUCUCUCGAAAAAUAAAUAAAUAAACACCACGACUAUCGCCACUUCUCUCGAAACUUCACCGCAAAAACCAACUCCUAAACAGGUCGACAAACCUUACCCGAACGGAUCGGCUUUUCGGAUUCGUUUUCUGUUUUCUUCACCAGUUUGAGGUAAUGGUUGCAGUGAUCUCAUUAUCUUUCCUUCUUGUGGCUGCUCCCAUAUUUGGUCUUCCUGGAGUCUAGACUGCGCUAUGUCUAUUCAUGACCUUGCGUGGAAUUUGAAAGUAAACUAUGUUUUAAUUUUGUAAGAGACAAUAUCAAGUGCAAUUACUUUCCAAAAAAAGAAAUCAAGUGCAAUCGGCCAUAUUCUUUAAACAUUAAUAAGGUUAAUAGCUUAUAUCA